This is a long non-coding RNA of Myxocyprinus asiaticus (Chinese sucker), 648 nucleotides long. RefSeq lists it as uncharacterized. Lineage: Eukaryota; Metazoa; Chordata; Actinopteri; Cypriniformes; Catostomidae. The record is from RefSeq and is a predicted model, not a curated record. The transcript is spliced from 2 exons.
CUUCAGGUGAUGAAAUGCAAAGAUGGAGAAAUGGAGGAGCACAGUCAUUAGAUACCAUUGGUGACAGCUUUAUCUCUGGGACAUGUGAAUGCAAAGAGGUCUACACAAAAUAAAAAUAAUAUUUUGGCCUAUUUUUUAAGAUUUACACAUCAAUUUCACACAAAUCGGUAACUGUAAAUCUUUUUUUUGUGUAUAUAAAGUACAUUCACAAUCAUCUCAAUGACAAUUGUUCAGCUGCAGUGUGCAGCCUGGGAUGCUGCCGUGUUGCUUUAUGGGCACCCACUUCCAGAGACAGUUUAAGUCUUAAAUGCCAUGUGACCGAUCACUCUGUAUUCCUAUGUUUAAUAUUAAAAAAUAUUGUUGAUUCGUUGGUGUAUUUGGGCUACUUUUGCAUGGCCAUUUAAUAAAACACUGUUUGCUUGCAUAAAUGUGUAGUUAUGGCAUCUACCAGCAGGGGCCAACUGCUGAAGCUAACCAGCCGAAUCUUUAUCUUGGUUAAUGUGGUACUGCAACUAUCAGAUGGUUUGAUUUGAAUGGUGCUGAUUGUAUUGCUAUGUUUGGAUAACCUUUGUUGUAAGUAGUGCAUUUUCUAUUAUAAAUAAUGCAUACAGUUGUGUAUGGCUGGUUCCCAAUAAAUGAAGAAAGAUC